UAGUUCUAGUGAUCUGGUUACUUUUCAUAAUUUUCAUAAGAUAUGAUAAUUAUUUAAAAAUG
This 62-nucleotide ribosomal RNA is filed under the name Succinea caduca. RNAcentral describes it as "partial 16S small subunit ribosomal RNA". Lineage: Eukaryota; Metazoa; Mollusca; Gastropoda; Stylommatophora; Succineidae. The record is from RNAcentral.